This 5342-nucleotide long non-coding RNA is filed under the name Homo sapiens (human). Its description in RNAcentral is "HSALNT0069711". The record is from RNAcentral. Lineage: Eukaryota; Metazoa; Chordata; Mammalia; Primates; Hominidae.
CCUAUUGGAACAUGCUAGGGUCAAUGAAAGUUCAUUUUAUUGAAGUCAAGAUCAAAAAGCAGGCGGCUCCAAGAUAUAUACAGCCCUUUAGCCACAAAGGCCAGUGUUGGGGGCAGCUCGUGGGCUAGUAUGAGUAUCUCCAUGUCUUUAUUGAAAAGCAGGCUACUUUCAUUUUCAAGCAGCUUCCAUAAGCCUUCAUCUCUUGUGAGCAUUCCCAUUGCAGUAAGAAGAGAGAAUCCUAGCCAUCUCAUCACACCCAGAAAGUAACAAGAGGCACAGCUAUGAAGAGGAGAUUAGGACACAAGGAGAGACACCGGGGAUGUCUGCACAUAGAAGAAAGGCCACAUGAAGAUACUACGAGUAGGAAGCCAUCUGCAAGCCAAGGAGAGAGGCCUCAGAAGAAACCAAACCUGCUGGCACCUUGAUCUUGGACUUCCAGAACGGUGCAAAAUAAACUUCUGUUGUGAAGCCUCCAAGUCUGUAGUAUUUUGCUAUGGCAGCCCUAGAAAAUGCAUACAAGAGCUGAGUGCAGUGGCUCACUAACCCUUUGGAAGCUCAAGGUGGGAGGACUGCUUGAAACCAGGAGUUUGAGAUCAGCCUGAGAAACAAACUAAGACCAUGUCUCUACCCAAGUUUUUUUAAAUUAGCUAGGUGUGAUGGCACACAUCUGUAGUCCCAGCUACUCAGGAGGCUAAGGCGGGAGGAUUGCUGGAACCCAGGAGUCUGAGGCGUAGAGAGCUAUGAUCAUGCCACUGCACUCCAGCCUGGGUGGCAGAGUGAGACAGUAAGACAGUGAGACAGACAGACAGACAGACAAAGGGAAGGAAGGAAGGAAGGAAGGGUGGGAGGGAAGGAGGGAAAGAAAGAGAUAAAGAAAAAGAGAAAGAGAGAGAGAGAAAGAAAGAAAAAGAAAGAAAAAGAGCCGGUUGUGGUGGCUCAUGCCUGUAAUCUCAACACUUUGGGAGGCCGAGGUGGGCAGAUCAUGAGGUCAGGAGAUCGAGACCAUCCUGGCUAACAUGGUGAAACCCCAUCUGUACUAAAAAUACAAAAACGCCUGUAAUCUCAGCUACUCAGGAGACUGAGGCAGGAGAAUCACUUGAACCCAGGAGGCAGAGGUUGCAGUGAGCCCAGAUCGCGCCAUUGCACUCCAGCUUGGGCAACAAGAGGGAAACUCUGCCAAAAGAAAGAAAGAAAGAAGGAAAGAAAGAAAAGAAAGAAAGAAAGAAAGAAAGAAAGAAAGAAAGAAAGAAAGAAAGAAAGAAAGAAAGAAAGAAAGAAAAUGAAGGAAGGAAGGAAAGGAAGGAAGGAAAGGGAACAGAAGGAAGGAGAGGGUGGAAGGAGAGGGUGGAAGGAAAAAAGAAAGAGAAAGAAAAAAACAGGAAAAACAGAAGAAAGGGAGGAAAGGAAGGGAGGGAAGGAAAGAAAGAGAGAGAGGAAGAAAGGGAAGAAAAGGAAGGGAGGGAGGGAGGAAGGGAAAGAAAGGAAGAAAAGAAGGCCAGGCUCGGUGGCUCACGCCUGUAAUCCGAGCACUUUGGGAGGCUGAGGCAAGCGGACCAUGAAGUCAGGAGAUCCAGACCAUCCUAGCCAACAUCAUGAAACCCUGUCUCUACUAAAAAUACAAAAAUUAGCUGGAUGUGGUGGCACGUGCCUGUAAUCCCAGCUACUUGGGAGGCUAAGGCAGGAGAAUCGCUUGAACCAGGGAGUCGGAGGUUGCAGUGAGUUAAGAUCACACCAUUGCACUCCAGGCUGGUGACAGAGCAAGACUUUACCUCAAAAAAAAAAAAAGGGGGGGGGGGAGGGGAAGGGGAAGGGGAAGGGAACUAAUAUAAAGCUUAAGAGUCUUUAGGUCACUAUGGGAAAGUAGAAACCAAAGUUGCAAUCCCUUCCUUCCAGAGAGGAGGGGAGAUAAUACCUGUGUCAAUAUAGGAGGCCUUGGGGAUGACAACUUUGGCCAGGAGUAGAAGCAUUUUCUCAGAGAAUGGCUCCCUACGCUGACCCUCACAAAUACUCACUGGGUUAAGCCUCCCAUUAUACCUCCAUAGCAACCUAACUCAAUCCUUCCAACACCAACACACUUAGAAUUCAUUGUUAGGUCUCUCACUGAACAACAAAUUCCACGAGGCCUGGGACCAAAAAAUCCUGUGUCGGGGGUCAAGAUGAAGCCAGUAUGCACACACACACACACACACACACACACAUAUACGCCAAUUAUUGACAACAGGCAUCCUUUCCAAUUGGUCCAGGUCAGUCCUGCAUGAUCACUAUCCAUGCCAUCUAGUUGUGAAGAAUUUUGAAAGACUUUCAGAGACUAGCACAGGUCCCAAAAAACAGUAGGUGUCUGAUAAUAUCUGCUGAUUGAUGGAUUUGUUGCUUAGGUCUCAGGAUGGUAAAGGGAAGAAUAGAUUAUUCGCCAGUUGACUAUUAACCAACUGCUGCAAUAUGCCAGGUCCCUGGGCUAGGUGCUAGGUAACAAGCAUGAGUAAAAUGCAGCCCCAUGACCUCAAUGAACUGACAGCAAUAGUCCAAAAGGAGUAAACGGAGGAUGUAAAACCUCUGGGACCCAGGGGCAAGAGCGGGAAGCCAGCUGAGGAAAGAUAUGGUUGCAUAAAGAAUCUCAUGCUGCUGGGAUAGAGACAAGAUACUUGAUACAGGCAACAUGAUGCCUGAGGUCAGGUGCAUUUUCUCCAGGCCGUGAGAGACAAAGGGAAGUUGCCCUUGCUCAAAUCUGUUUCUUUGGACCCCCUUGUCCUUGGGCUUGCAGUGACUGAUCAUCCUGGAAAUAAUGAAAAGAUCUGUCAUGUUCUGGCUCAUUUAAAGCUUAAAAAGGGUCACAUAGCACAGAAACAACGCCCCACGAAGGAUCAAGCAAAUUGAGCAGAGAUCCAGUGGACACUGAAAGAACACAGGCCACAAAUCCAGUUGCCUUAGUAAAGAAGCCCUUCCUCAGCCUAUGAUACGAUCAUUUUUAAAAAGCCACAGAAAAAUGAAGGCAAUUGGACAAGAAAGCAACAUUUAGCUUAAUUAGCUCCAUCUUAGGAAAGGGUCUUGGAAAAAACUAUGGAGAAAAUGUGCAGGGGCAAAAGACGGGAUCAUGAGGAGACCAUCCUGGAUCAUACAUAAGGACUGUAUCUAAACCCAGGAGCUUGAGAAUUUCUUGGUUCUGCAGUGUCUCAUCCAUAAACUGUUUGAGGUCCAUGUAAAUAACGCAAAUGUCUGCAAACCCUACGUGCUUUAUCUAUUUUACUCUACUGCAAGACAGAAAACCCUGGAGCCAGAGACAGGAGAGCGCCUGACCCCUUGGACUGUUCAAAACAUUGGCUUGCGGGGCUGGGCACGAUGGCUCAUGCCUGUAAUCCCAGCACUUUGGGAGGCCGAGGCGGGUGGAUCACCUGAGGUCGAGAGUUCAAGACCAGCCUGACCAACAUGGAGAAAUCCCGUCUCUACUAAAAGUACAAAAUUAGCCGGGCAUGGUGGCACAUGCCUGUAAUCCCAGCUACUCAGGAGGCUGAGGCAGGAGAAUCUCUUGAACCUGGGAGGCAGAGGUUGCGGUGAGCUGAGAUUGUGCCAUUGCUCUCCAGCCUGGGCAACAAGAGCAAAACUCUGUCUCACUAAAAAAAAAAAAAAAAAAAAAAAAAAAAAAAAAAAAAAAAAAAAUUGGCUUGAGUCAGUAGCUUUCUGCAUUUGUUAAAUUCCUACCGCCUUGUACCCAUCCAAAAGAGCUGAGAUCACCAAAAGGACUUAGAGUAUAUAUGAGAAUCUAAGAGCUCUCUCAACUUAGAAAACAUAUUGCCUAGACUUCAUUAGAAUCAAGAGACACUUACAGGCUAAGAUUUCUAUCCCAAUUUUAAAUAAUUAUUUCCUCCCUAAUCAGAGAAGUAUUUUAUUUUAAUGUAAUGUUUUUUAAAAAAUAAGAACUAAAACCAGAGCAAACACCAGUUUAUAUGUUCCCCUCAAACAUUUUUCUGAUUGAAUCUCCCCUUCUCUUUUCAGCCUGUGACAGAAUGACACUUUCCUUAUACCUUAAUCGAAUGUUUCUGUUAUAAAGCCAAUGAAUGUGAACAGGCCAAGCUCCUGAACAUGUCAAGAAGCAAUGAGAACUCAGUGGAAAAUGGCCCAUAGAAAAGUUUUAUGAGCUGCAAAUGUUACAUUUCAUCCUACAAUGGAAUCUGCCUCCCUUCACAAUCCUCCAGGAUUCCAGCCCACCCCCAGGCACCUUUAUUUCUCACAGAACCCCUGACGCUCAGUAAUCCAGCAGAACAGUUAAAGAAACCGUGAGCACUUUCUUGAGGUUCUUGGUGUGUUUUGAUUUGGGUUAUUUUGCCUUGUUUUGUUUUACUUUCCUGGUCACUGAUUCUUGUGAAGUCUUAGGAGCCAAAAAUCUCCCCAACCCCUCCCUUUCUUGAAGUCAAGAAAAUUAAUGAAAAACAGUCAUGCAUGGGAAUACUCCAUUAUGAAGAAGGAAAACUCAGUGCAAACAUAUCAUUUGAAGGGGCUUGCAGGUGGACCUGCAAGGGUCAAAGCCACACAAAACCAAAGAGUAAGGUCAAGUUCUAAAAUAUUUGUAUUCCACUGACUGCAAUGAAGGCUAAUGUGUGCCCUAAUUAAAUUGCUAAAUACUUCAUAUCUGUAAUGAGCUUAGGGAAAGGAAUCUAUUGUUUCAUUUUAGCAUUCAGUUUUAAGAAAGUUUUUAUUUAAUCCAGCUUUACCAAUUCUACUGAUUUGGGGCACGACAAAACCUCUAUUUAGAAAAAUGGUUAGCUAAAUCUUUAUGAGAGGCAGCAUCAUAUGGUAUUGAGGACAUACACUUUAAAAUCAAACCGCUCUAUAUGCACAUCUUGUGGCCUGUCACCCAUUUUGUAACCUGGUGUAAGAUGCUUAGUCACUCUGAGCCACAGGUGCCUUGCUACCAGAUGGGAAUAGUAAUAUCUAAUUUGCAGUGUUGUUAUAAGAGUCAAAUAAAUAGUACUUCUGAGGUGUACAGCACUGGACAGAGAAGACUCUUGAUUAAUGUUAGGAAUGAUGGUCAUCGACGAUGACAAUGAUGAUGAAGGUGGUGAUGAUGAAGAUGAAGAUGAGGAUGGUGAUGUUGAUGGAAGAGGAUCAAGGCCAACGUUGCGUCUCCACAAGCUACUGAUUUCCAUCUUUGAGUGUUGAGCACUGAUCAGCUAUUACUCAUCUGUAGACUCCUACUCUGCAGAUCAUCCUCAGCCCAUAGAGUUAAAAAACAACACCUGAGUGCCAAACAUCCACCAAUUCUAGGCCAGAGACAGGAAAGAACAAAGGUUCAAAGGUAGAGAUUUGACACACACGUAUACACGCACACAUACAUGAGAACCCCACCU